Rhipicephalus sanguineus (brown dog tick) is the source of this 181-nucleotide long non-coding RNA. RefSeq lists it as uncharacterized. The transcript is spliced from 3 exons. NCBI's taxonomy places the organism in Eukaryota, Metazoa, Arthropoda, Arachnida, Ixodida, Ixodidae. The record is from RefSeq and is a predicted model, not a curated record.
GGGGGCUCAAACAACCAUCUCUUCCGCGAAUACCUGAAGAAGCCACCAUGGCUCCUUCAAGAUGGCAGCGGAGGGUCGAGGAGAUAAGAAUGCAACUUCUCCGUGGAGGCGGACCUCGGCCUAUCACUGCAUUCAUCCAUCAUCUACCAUGGGGCCCUCAGGCGCAAGGUCACGGUCAUGG